CGGACGGGUGAGUAAUGUAUGGGGAUCUGCCUGAUGGCGGGGGAUAACUACUGGAAACGGUAGCUAAUACCGCAUAACGUCGCAAGACCAAAGAGGGGACCUUCGGGCCUCUUGCCAUCGGAUGUGCCCAGAUGGGAUUAGCUAGUAGGUGGGGUAACGGCUCACCUAGGCGACGAUCCCUAGCUGGUCUGAGAGGAUGACCAGCCACACUGGAACUGAGACACGGUCCAG
This 231-nucleotide ribosomal RNA is filed under the name uncultured bacterium. RNAcentral describes it as "partial 16S ribosomal RNA". It matches the Rfam family "Bacterial small subunit ribosomal RNA", at positions 99 to 334 of the family's 1533-position model. The record is from RNAcentral.